AGCGGCGAACGGGUGCAUAACACGUAGGUAACCUGCCCCUAGGACCGGGACAACCUGCUGAAAGGCGGGCUAAUACUGGAUAUGACCGACUCCCUCGGGUGUUGUGGUAAAAGGUGGCCUCUCCCCACCAAGGGAUGGGCCUGCGCACCAUUAGCUAGUUGGCGAGGUAAAAGCUCACCAAGGCUUCGACGGGUAGCUGGUCUGAGAGGAUGUCCAGCCACACUGGGACUGAGACACGGCCCAGACUCCUACGGGAGGCAGCAGUAGGGAAUCUUGCGCAAUGAGCGAAAGCUUGACGCAGCGACGCCGCGUGCGGGAUGAAGGCCUUCGGGUUGUAAACCGCUUUCAGCAGGGACGAAAUUGACGGUACCUGCAGAAGAAGCCCCGGCCAACUACGUGCCAGCAGCCGCGGUAAUACGUAGGGGGCGAGCGUUGUCCGGAUUUAUUGGGCGUAAAGAGCUCGUAGGCGGUUCGGUAAGUCGAAUGUGAAAUCUCCACGCUCAACGUGGAGGGGUCAUUCGAAACUGCCGUGACUUGAGUACGGUAGGGGAGUGUGGAAUUCCCGGUGUAGCGGUGAAAUGCGCAGAGAUCGGGAGGAACACCCGUAGCGAAGGCGGCACUCUGGGCCGAUAC
Molecule: ribosomal RNA, 633 nt
Filed under: uncultured bacterium
Lineage: Bacteria
Description: bacterial SSU rRNA
Rfam family: Bacterial small subunit ribosomal RNA
Source: RNAcentral